UGAAAUAGUUCGAUCUUCCAGAAAACAGCAGAUAUUACAUCUCGUACCUUUUGCAUCAUGAUCUAGUUAGUACAUUUAAGCGAAGCGCCCUCUAGUUUAUCCCCCCGAAACCAGACGAGCUACCUCGGGACAAUUUUAUAGAAUGCACCCACCUCUGUGGCAAAAGAGGAGGGAAGAUCCCCAGGUAGAGGUGAAAGGCCUACCGAGUCUAGUUAUAGCUGGUUGCCUGGAAAAUGAAUAGAAGUUCAGCCCCCUAAACCCCCUAGCCAACAUAGGACCCCUUAACGCAGGCAACGGGCGAAGUAGGGGAGUUAGUCAAGAGAGGUACAGCUCUCCUGACCAAGGAAACAACCUGCCAAGGAGGUCGAGGAAUAAAGUUAUCAAAGGCAAGGGGUUUUGGUGGGCCUAAAAGCAGCCACCCCAGCAGAAAGCGUUACAGCUCAGACCCCCUCACGCCUAAUAUACCCUUAAGUUCUCCCCAGCCCCCCCCCCCUUACCAGGCCUUCCCAUGCAAACAUGGAAGAGAAGAUGCUAGAACGAGUAACAAGAAGAACGAACUUCUCCCCGCACAUGUGCUAGCCGGAUCGGACCUACCACCGGCAUAUAACGAACCCAACACCAGAGGGCAGCACGUCCCUCACUACGUUUAUCAAGAAAAGAGAGUGCCUCUUAUCGUUGACCCCACACAGGAGUGCUUACGGGAAAGACUUAAAGGGAGAAAAGGAACUCGGCAAACCAAAACCUCGCCUGUUUACCAAAAACAUCGCCUCCUGCCCUCACACCAUAGGAGGUCCCGCCUGCCCUGUGACCCAAAGUUUAACGGCCGCGGUAUUUUAACCGUGCAAAGGUAGCGCAAUCAAUUGUCUUUUAAAUGAAGACCUGUAUGAAUGGCAUCACGAGGGUUUAGCUGUCUCUUUUCCCCAGUCAGUGAAACUGAUCUGCCCGUGCAGAAGCGGGCAUACCCCCACAAGACGAGAAGACCCUAUGGAGCUUUAGGCGCCCGCUAACCGCAAAUAGCGGCCUCACCCCUAAUUGUCGCGGUUCUAUGCAAAGCGCCUUCGGUUGGGGCGACCACGGGAGAUAGCAAAGCUCCCGAGAGGAAAGGGCUUUUAGCCUGAAGCUCAGAGAGACAUCUCUAGGCCGCAGAACAUCUGACCUUGAAUGAUCCGGCUACUGCCGAUCAACGGACCAAGUUACCCUAGGGAUAACAGCGCAAUCCCCUCCCAGAGUCCAUAUCGACGAGGGGGUUUACGACCUCGAUGUUGGAUCAGGACAUCCUAAUGGUGCAGACGCUAUUAA
Molecule: ribosomal RNA, 1299 nt
Filed under: Spratelloides delicatulus (delicate round herring)
Lineage: Eukaryota; Metazoa; Chordata; Actinopteri; Clupeiformes; Clupeidae
Description: partial 16S ribosomal RNA
Rfam family: Bacterial large subunit ribosomal RNA
Source: RNAcentral